RNAcentral lists this ribosomal RNA (479 nucleotides) under uncultured bacterium. RNAcentral describes it as "partial 16S ribosomal RNA". It matches the Rfam family "Bacterial small subunit ribosomal RNA", at positions 28 to 507 of the family's 1533-position model. The record is from RNAcentral.
GACGAACGCUGGCGGCGUGCUUAACACAUGCAAGUCGAACGAAGCUUGAUUACGGAUUCUUCGGAUGAAGUAUGAUAUGACUGAGUGGCGGACGGGUGAGUAACGCGUGAGUAACCUGCCCUUCAGAGGGGGAUAGCGUUUGGAAACGAACGGUAAUACCGCAUAAUGUAUUUUGACCGCAUGAUCGAAAUACCAAAGAUUUAUCGCUGAAGGAUGGACUCGCGUCUGAUUAGGUAGUUGGUGGGGUAACGGCCUACCAAGCCGACGAUCAGUAGCCGGACUGAGAGGUUGAUCGGCCACAUUGGGACUGAGACACGGCCCAGACUCCUACGGGAGGCAGCAGUGGGGAAUAUUGCACAAUGGGCGCAAGCCUGGUGCAGCAACGCCGCGUGAAGGAAGACGGUUUUCGGAUUGUAAACUUCUGUUCUUAGUGAAGAAUAAUGACGGUAGCUAAGGAGCAAGCCACGGCUAACUACGUG